UUUCACUCAAAUUCUACCAGAAAUACCACCGUCAAUGGCAAACUCUUCCUUAGCACCACCGAAUUACAAAUCCAAUCGGUACGAGGUUGAUGAAUUUCAAGGAAAGCAAACUAAAGGUAUCUCUUUGUCCAUGUGUUUUUUGAUUCAUUCUUUUACUCAUAGUAGUCUGUAUUGUGCUUUUUGUGAAAUUCCAUUUAUUUUGUCACACCCCGCUUCAUUCUACCUCUUCAAAAAAUAUUGCCAUUAAACUUACAUCGGAAGAUGAGAUUUCCCUACAAUCAUAGUGUUUCCUUUUAUUGCUUGAAUCCUAGUGUUAUUGAUGUGUGAUUGGAUUCUAGGAAUGAGCGUUGUGUGGUUACAGAAAUGAAUCAAUUGUCAUUAAAAAUGUGAAAUGGAGGAUUGAUCAGGAGGUGGACAUGGUGAAUGAAUUGGUUCAGAUCAAUGAUAUGAGUUUGGAGGUGAAUAUUGAAUGAUUUUAGAUGAUUACAAGUUGAACUUAAGUCGAGAUCUGGCAAUUAAGAUACCAUGAUUAUUGUUCUUAAGAAGAGGAGACAAUUUGAGAACAUGGUGUCUGUCCUUGAAGAAAUGAAGAGAAGGAUCUGCUCACAAUGGAAACAUUUAUUAUGGUGAUCGAAGCAUUUGUUUCUAUGGAGGAGAGGAAAAUGACUAUUUGGAUUUUCAUCUAUGGAGAAGUUUAAUAUACUAAAGUUGGGGAAGAGAUGGAUCAUACUCUUUGCUGGGACAUCCUGGGGAAAAAAGCACAGGCUUUCUUUGAGAAAUUGGGAUGUAGGUUCAUGCUGAAUUAUAGCAUUUAUAGCGUUUCUGAUCAGUCUUUGGCACCAGGUGAAGAUUUUAAUGGAGUCUUGAAGGAGGUGAAGUGGGAUUAUUGAGAAGGGUUUUAG
RNAcentral lists this long non-coding RNA (902 nucleotides) under Olea europaea subsp. europaea. The record is from RNAcentral. Lineage: Eukaryota; Viridiplantae; Streptophyta; Magnoliopsida; Lamiales; Oleaceae.